AACGAACGCUGGCGGCAGGCCUAACACAUGCAAGUCAAACGGGGUAGCAAUACCUAGUGGCGCACGGGUGAGUAACACGUGGGAAUCUCCCUUUCAGUACGGAAUAACAGCGGGAAACUGCUGCUAAUACCGUAUGGUCCCUUCGGGGUAAAGAUUUAUCGCUGAAAGAUGAGCCCGCGUCAGAUUAGCUAGUUGGUGGGGUAACGGCCUACCAAGGCUACGAUCUGUAGCUGGUCUUAGAGGACGAUCAGCCACACUGGAACUGAGACACGGUCCUGACUCCUACGGGAGGCAGCAGUGGGGAAUAUUGGACAAUGGGGGAAACCCUGAUCCAGCCAUGCCGCGUGAGUGAUGAAGGCCUUCGGGUUGUAAAGCUCUUUAGGGUGGGACGAUAAUGACGGUACCACCAGAAUAAGCCCCGGCUAACUUCGUGCCAGCAGCCGCCGUAA
RNAcentral lists this ribosomal RNA (449 nucleotides) under uncultured bacterium. Its description in RNAcentral is "partial 16S ribosomal RNA". It matches the Rfam family "Bacterial small subunit ribosomal RNA", at positions 29 to 523 of the family's 1533-position model. The record is from RNAcentral.